This 903-nucleotide ribosomal RNA is filed under the name uncultured archaeon. Its description in RNAcentral is "bacterial SSU rRNA". It matches the Rfam family "Archaeal small subunit ribosomal RNA", at positions 1 to 917 of the family's 1478-position model. The record is from RNAcentral.
UUCCGGUUGAUCCUGCCGGACCUGACUGCUAUCGGAUUGAUACUAAGCCAUGUGAGUCUUUGUAGCAAUACAAGGCAUACGGCUCAGUAACACGUAGUCAACCUACCUUAUAGACGGGGAUAACCUCGGGAAACUGAGAAUAAUACCCGAUAGAUCAUUAUGCCUGGAAUGGCUUAUGGUUAAAAUGAAUUUCGCUAUAGGAUGGGACUGCGGUCUAUCAGCUUGUUGGUGAGGUAAUGGCCCACCAAGGCUAUAACAGAUACGGGCUCUGAGAGGAGAGGCCCGGAGAUGGGUACUGAGACACGGACCCAGGUCCUAUGGGGCGCAGCAGGCGAGAAAACUUUGCAAUGUGCGAAAGCACGACAAGGUUAAUCCGAGUGUUUCCUGCUAAAGGAAUCUUUUGUUAGUCGUAAAACCACUAUCGAAUAAGGGGUGGGCAAGUUCUGGUGUCAGCCGCCGCGGUAAAACCAGCACCUCAAGUGGUCAGGAGGGUUAUUGGGCCUAAAGCAUCCGUAGCCUGCUUUGUAAGUUUUCGGUUAAAUCCAUAUGCUCAACAUAUGGGCUGUCGGGAAUACUGCAUAGCUAGGGAGUGGGAGAGGUAGACGGUACUCCGUAGGAAGGGGUAAAAUCCUUUGAUCUAUGGAUGACCACCUGUGGCGAAGGCGGUCUACCAGAACACGUCCGACGGUGAGGGAUGAAAGCUGGGGGAGCAAACCGGAUUAGAUACCCGGGUAGUCCCAGCUGUAAACUAUGCAAACUCAGUGAUGCAUUGGCUUGUGGCCAAUGCAGUGCCGCAGAGAAGUCGUUAAGUUUGCCGCCUGUGAAGUACGUACGCAAGUAUGAACUUAAAGGAAUUGCGGGGAGCACACAGGGUGAGCUGCGUCAUGAUCACGCGUAUCGUCG